This 50-nucleotide ribosomal RNA is filed under the name Echinococcus canadensis. RNAcentral describes it as "partial 5.8S ribosomal RNA". Lineage: Eukaryota; Metazoa; Platyhelminthes; Cestoda; Cyclophyllidea; Taeniidae. The record is from RNAcentral.
AACUGUGUGCGGUGGAUCACUUGGCUCGCGCGUCGAUGRAGAGAAUCCCG